RNAcentral lists this ribosomal RNA (440 nucleotides) under uncultured bacterium. RNAcentral's name for it is "partial 16S ribosomal RNA". It matches the Rfam family "Bacterial small subunit ribosomal RNA", at positions 338 to 795 of the family's 1533-position model. The record is from RNAcentral.
CCUACGGGAGGCAGCAGUGGGGAAUAUUGCACAAUGGGCGAAACCCUGAUGCAGCGACGCCGCGUGAGUGAAGAAGUUCUUCGUUAUGUAAAGCUCUAUCAGCAGGGAAGAAAAUGACGGUACCUGAUUAAGAAUCCCCGGCUAACUACGUGCCAGCAGCCACCGUAAUACGUAGGGGGCAAGCGUUAUCCGGAUUUACUGGGGGUAAAGGGAGCGUAGACGGUAGUGCAUGUCUGGAGUGAAAGGCGGGGGCUCAAACCCCGGACUGCUCUGGAAACUGGACGGCUGGAGUGCAGGAGAGGUAAGUGGAAUUCCUGGUGUAGCGGUGAAAUGCGUAGAUAUUAGGAGGAACACCAGUGGCGAAGGCGGCUUACUGGACUGUAACUGACGUUGAGGCUCGAAAGCGUGGGUAGCAAACAGGAUUAGAUACCCUAGUAGUC